AUCACAAGCGAGCACAAAAAAAGAUCUUGUACAACAGCAGCAGCAACAACAUUGUUGUCUAGUUCAGGUAGAGCAAAAUCUGGUUGCAUGAAACCUGAAAACCCCACUACAACAGCUUCCACUUCCAUCUCAGCUUUCCCUGAUGGCAUGGGGCUGUCUGUCUGUCCAGCCCUGAAAAAAACACCUGCUCAUCAGGAGAGCUCAUGGCCCAACUCGUUCCAUCCCUUUCAUCUGCUCGCAGCAUCUCCUGUUUUGAUCACGCCGUUUCAAUGUGAUCAUGCCGUGCCUCUGCCAUCUGUGCUGCUCCUUCUUGCUGCCUGUCGGGAAGGAACCAAUGCAGUUCGCAGUUGGUCAUGGCAGUGUCAGAGAAAUUCAACCAGUGUGUCCAUCAAUAGGCAAGGCACCUUUCUUGAACCAUGGCCGGCGACCAGCUUGCCGGACCUGCUGCUCGUGGCUGUGCAGCAGGAAUUCGUCGAUGCGCCGGGGCUGUGACAGCAGCGGCCCUGAGUGGUCCACCCUGCUCACCUUCCCCUU
This 534-nucleotide unclassified non-coding RNA is filed under the name Zea mays. RNAcentral's name for it is "misc RNA Zm00001eb029670". The record is from RNAcentral. Lineage: Eukaryota; Viridiplantae; Streptophyta; Magnoliopsida; Poales; Poaceae.